This 301-nucleotide ribosomal RNA is filed under the name uncultured bacterium. RNAcentral's name for it is "partial 16S ribosomal RNA". It matches the Rfam family "Bacterial small subunit ribosomal RNA", at positions 509 to 809 of the family's 1533-position model. The record is from RNAcentral.
CAGCAGCCACGGGAAUACGGAGGGUGCAAGCGUUAAUCGGAAUUACUGGGCGUAAAGCGCACGCAGGCGGUUUGUUAAGUCAGAUGUGAAAUCCCCGAGCUUAACUUGGGAACUGCAUUUGAAACUGGCAAGCUAGAGUCUUGUAGAGGGGGGUAGAAUUCCAGGUGUAGCGGUGAAAUGCGUAGAGAUCUGGAGGAAUACCGGUGGCGAAGGCGGCCCCCUGGACAAAGACUGACGCUCAGGUGCGAAAGCGUGGGGAGCAAACAGGAUUAGAUACCCGGGUAGUCCCUGUCUCUUAUAA